Molecule: non-coding RNA, 71 nt
Organism: Phrynosoma platyrhinos (Desert horned lizard)
Lineage: Eukaryota; Metazoa; Chordata; Lepidosauria; Squamata; Phrynosomatidae
Source: the annotation of a GenBank genome assembly
UCCAGUAUAGUUUAGUGGUUUGAGUGCUGGAUUAGGACUCUAGGAAAUGAGGGUUCAAAUCCCUGCUGAAC